GUGGGGGGAGCACGCGGAGCGAGUAAACGACCGUGCGAAACCGGGGGUGUCGCGUUUGGAUCGAGAGAAACGGGAGCUGGGGGUGUCGCCUCGCGUAGUGGUGAGGGAGGAGGGAGUAGUCGGCGACGGCCCAGAAGAGCGACCCCACCUUGUCAUCCCCUAGGCCGGCCUAGGCUCCGCACGCCCGCACCACCGUCCGUAGAAACCGUCGCCGCCGCCGCCCGUAGAGGCUGUAUUCCGCUACCGCCCCUACGAGCUAAGCGGUACUUGGCCAGGGACGUCCUCUCUCUUUCUUUCUCUCCUCCCUCUUUCGCUCUCCUUUCCCUCUCCCUCCACGCUGCCGCCCGCCCUCUCCCAGAGGCCGACCACGCUCUGUAAGUGCAGAGAGGAGGAGAGGACGAGAGCUGGUGGUGGCACCGGGAGGAAGAGGGGAAGUUAAGGGACAGAGGAGAAGAGACCUCAAUGGACUCACCAGUUGUGGCUCUUUCUACCCCUUCUGUCUCGGUCGCUCCUUCUGCCGAACUGAGACGGCGGCUACGACUGGCCGGUUAAGGCAGCCCGCGGCAGUACCCUCCUCCACUUGGUAGCUCCUCGUCGUGCCCUCCUCUAUUUCUAUUCGGCGGCCAGAGGGCCAAGUGAAGACCAACGUAGAACGGGCACUCGAGGAAGAAGAAUGUCGGUCGAACCGGGAAAAGAGCGGUAGAAAACCCAUUACGUCGCAUAGUUCGUCCGCUUCCGCUCCUAGUCUACGCCAUCGUCGACUUCCUCAGUACCUCUCCCCCGCUCUCACUCGUCGCCGACAGCUGGUUCUUCCUUCUCCGAUCCCGCUCCUGGCCUCCUCCUCCGCGAGUACCACCUCGUAUCCUCCUACCUCCGCCUCACGAUGACGUUGCCGACACCCUGACCCGCUUUCCUACUUUAAUAACAAAUGAAAUCUAACCCCACGACCUCGGUUACUUUUUUCUAGUGACGUCGAAACUUACAUCCGUGUGCAGUUUACUUUGAUAACCUACCUCGUUAAGUCACGCCACCCCAUGUCCCCGACCACGUCCUCCUAUAUAUUGUCGUCUCAAGUAGAGACAAAACGACUGUUAAAUGUGACUUUGACAACUUUUCAUCUAUUAGUCGGUUAUUUGUCAUUUAGUAGUGUAGAUAAACGAAAAGACCAUAUACCCCGGUAAUAAUAAGACCAUGAAGAUUUCUCAGUAAUAAGAAUACCAUGAAGAUUUAAACGUAUAGAAACACAAGUCUACCUUCAGUGGACCGUUUCCAGAUUGCAAAGUCUAAAUUACAAUAUAUGUACGGGUUCUCAUUAUGCAAUAUAUUAUAUGAGAUCUGACAUAAGAAUAAAUCAAAAAAAAGUACGAAGAACAAAGUGACCCGAUAACGUUUCUACUGUAUAGGUGAACCUCAACCUAUAAUAAAACUAUUGGUAUAGAUCGAUAAAAAUGUUUUUUAUAGUUAAUUGAACGUAGCUAAGUUACGAUCUCGCCAUCAGUACUUUGUAACGGUGACGCGGUGUUCCGCUAAUUUUAGUACCUUUAACUAUAUUUUCAAUGAACACUAAAUAUAUCAGUACAUUAGUGUUUGGUAUUACUAUUUUUUCGGUUUAGUAAAUAAAAUAACCUCUUAUGUAGUUUAUAUACCUAUUAGUUUCCACUUACAUUUACUUUACGAGGUACAUGCAAAUCCGAGGUCAUAUUCUAAUUUUAUCACCUAUUUAGUAACAUGGUAUAAGUUAAUCUUGAUGUUUCUUCUUCUCUUUACUAACUUAUCGUUUAAGACUGGCCGGUUAAGGCGGCCCGUGGCAGUACCCUCCUCCGCUUGGUAGCUCCUCGUCGUACCCUCCUCUACUUUUAUUCGACAGCCUGAGGGAUAAGUGAAGACCAACGUAGAACGGACUUGGCAUAGUGUUGUUUAGUAACCGUAACGUUGAAGUUCCUGUACAUACUACGUAUAGGGUAGUGACUUGUUCUAACCUAAAAUCACAUAUGUUCGGUAGGAUGAGCGACGGGAGGAGUCGAUGAGUCUAUCAAGAAGGAAGAGUAAUAGUCACUUAUUCAACCAAUGUCUUGUACGAACUUCUAACAUCAUGUAUCUCUAACGGACCGUCUGAUUUUAUUAAUCCUCGAAGACUAACCUGGGAAGUUCGUUAUCACAACAGUUAUAUGAUUAACAACCUAAUACAAUGAUAUGAGAAUCUUGUUGAAGGACUAUAUACAUAAAUAUCCUAAGAGACUCUAAACUACGUUUUAUAACUACCAGCCCACUUACAUCACCUGAGCAGCUCUAGCUCCCGUGGUUGCAGUAUACGGCUCCCGCAGGUAGCUGUUGGACGGGUUACAGGCCUAAGUGGCUCCUCAUGUUGACCUCUGUGAUAACCAACGGACGUCCGGACACUCAUGAACGUGAACCUGAAAAAAAUACUCGUCAUGAUUCAUUAGAUUACUAUACGAGGAACGUUAGAUUCCUUUGUUUUAUUUAGAUUCAGUAAAGGCUAGGAUUCCAAACCCAUGAUUGAUAAACACAAAUACAGAUGUUCGAAAACUAAAAGACGCACCAGAUAGAAAAUAAACGUUACAACCUGUGAGAAAGGAAAAGAACACUUAUUACAAAGACAAACUAGCAUGAGAGCUAUAUGACGUAUAAUUGAGAUAUGAUGUCUUAAACACUUGUUAGUCAUGAUGUGGGCCAAUAGAUCUCUCCUUCCGUUACUGUUGAUCUAAUCUGUAAAGUGUUCUAGGAGGGUUAAUGUCUGUAUUUGAGGAACUAAUAGCCUCUAACAGUCUACCUUUCUUCCACAUAGGAAAUAGAAAUAAAUCUACAAAUUAAUCGACAUGUUGGCAUGUACUAAAACAUUCCUUUGAUAAAUAGAACUACUAGGACUAUAGCUCAGCACAUAAUCAUAUCCGACAUUAAAAACCGAUCCUUAGAUAUAUACGUCGGUACAUACUUAUCCGAUACUAAGAAAAAAGGAAGACUUGUCUAAGAAAAAAACAAGUAAGGAACACUUUAUUAAGGUCUCGAUGAAACAACAUCAUUAAUAAACCGUGUAGGUAUUGAGUGGGUCAAAUACGCACUAAUAAAUCACAUAAACCAAGGUUUCACUUGUUUGAUAACCGGAAGCGAUCCGUUCCUAUCCACAAACCAUGGUUUUGUUUUUUAAUUGAAACAGUUCGAUUGAUCGUACGUACCCAAACUUAGUCGAUGAAGAAUAUAGGGACCUGAUAUCUAUAAUGUACGUAGUCAUGAACUACGUAGAGACUAUUGAAAAACGAUUAUAGUAACUUAAAGAGUACUCUAGAGAGAUCUGGAAAGGUUUACAUAAAAUCAAGUCACAAAACAUAAUUGAUCAUCUUCUUCCCUACGUUUACCUUUCUUAAACUCUACGUAUUUGUACUUUCGUGAUUUUCUAAGAGAGUUUCGUUUCUACAGAUCGGCCCUAUGUAUACCGUUCUUGGAAGUCUCUAACUGAAUAAAAGUCGACGAUAACUCUAUAUAUGAACGAGUAUCCAGUGUUGAGUACUUCAAUGGAGGAAAACCAAAACUAAAACUUUAUAUACACAGUAUCCAGUGUUGACUACUUCAAUGAAGGAAAAACACUUCCAGACUUAUAGCAGUACUAGAACCGACUCUCCGACCGUAAAACCUUCCAAGAGCACACAUAUCUAAUCAAUUAUCCUACUGUUAAAUUCAAAUAACUUCGAGAAGCAAUCCUCCGCCCCCAGACGAAACCAAAGAACGAUAAAAGGAAAGAGAGUUUCAUGAACUAGCCUACGUAGACUGUCAAAUAUUUAGUUAUUAAACCUACCAAGAUGAAUUUAAUAUUGAGAAUCAGAAAAGUGAAUUUUUAUUACACUCAAUAAAAAAUCCCCUUUUAUCGAAAACAAGUGAAUUAUUUAGUACAAGCAAUAUUAGUUACGACGAUAUAGUUUUUCAUCACAGAGCACGACCCAUCGUAGGUACAUCGAUAAAGAACUAGUAUAUUAGAAUAUAGGAUAUACACGUUUAGUCCGGAAAUCCGAUGAUCUUAAAGUGAUAACAAAUUGAAUCCUUUUCGACUAACUGUACUUAAUAUACACUAAGUUGUGAAAAUAAUUCAAAGGUAAGAAGAAAAUCGAAUAAUCAACGAUGGAUUCUAUCAUGGUUCGUACUAGAAACCAAACGGUACAUGUUGUGGUGUCUCAGUAAAAUAAUUCGACCGUAAUCAUUAAAACGUAAAAUGUACCAAGUACACGUUCAAUUUGUAGACGGGUUAUUAUGAUUAUAAUUCAAAUAUUACAACCGUGUCAGACAAUAACGGCAAUAGAAGAACCCUCAUGAACUCUUCCUCACCGACCCUUACACCCCUGUACCGUACCGUCUCCACGUACCAACCAACCUCCUCAGUGCCUCCGUACUUACACCUGUACACCUACAAUAGCACCGUAACUAUGCAAAGUGACGUGGCUACGACGUAUGGUUCCUAAGCAACCUUCGGUUUGUCCCGUGGGCUCUUCCUCUUCUCCUCUUACGAGACUUCUCUCCUUUACUAUUCAAAAUAGCAAAACAAAAUUCUCGUUCUAUUCUAAACUAUACAUCAAGGGACCAAAGAAACAUAAGAUGAGGGAGACAGGGCUUUAUUCACAGAGCUGGAAUCAUAUUGAAACAUGACCUCAAUCAUGUUUCAAGUGUGUGAAUAAAACCCUACCUCCCUCAUGAUACACAUACCGGUUUCGUGAGUACUAAAACAUCUGUAUAAAAAUUUGUUUUCGGAUACAAAAAAAAAACGAGUUUGUCUCAGUGACCUUUCACGUGUAUAAAAGUUACGCAUGUACUAAAGUUUACCCAGAUACACUUCUACGAUAUUUUAUAAAAUACAACAGUUUAAUUUUACACAUGUAUGUAGAGCAACAUCUGUUGUUAGCUGGUAAAAAGGAUAAAUUCCACUAACUUGGUACCUAUUAAAAAAGGAGUGUGUGUACCUAAAUCCCACGGAGAUGUGGUAAACCACGUUGUUCGUGGACAAAAGGAAUUGAUUCUCUCUAAUUCAAAUAACAGUAUACACGAAUGGGCAUUGUUUUAGUAGAUUUGAUACCUAAACAAAAGUAGUGAUUGUACCUUAGUCGUCCAGAAACACGAUAAACCGCACUGUCCAAAGCGUCGCAUUAUUGUAUAAAAGUUAUAUCGUAAGAUGAUGUUUAUAGCUUAUCCAAGAACGUUUUACUUUGAUAAAAGUAGCUGUUGUAACGAAAUCGGCCAGAGACGCGGUAAACCAGUUGAUCACAUCGAUUUAAAGUUACUAAACAGGUGUGUAUAUACGUAAUGUAUUAAUUAGUAUCACAUGCUUUAUACUUCUGGAGUAGUCUACUUUUUGUUACCUAGGUACGUAUAUACAAAUCGCCAUUGAGAAUGAGUUACAAAGUCCUCUUACGUACGAUUUUAGAAGUAAUAGUGGUCACCCUAACUACAUCACUAAGUCCUUCUUCAGCAACUAUUUAGAGGUUUGGUAGUCGUUAAGUGGUCGGCCCUCACCAAGUCCCCAGGAGCCAAGAUUCUACUCGACGCCAUAAAAAUUCUAGUCUUACACCGUAUACUCACCUCAUCUUCUAUAAUUAAUUCUAUCUGAAUAACCAUGAUUAAGCGUUCCUAGUAGUGUUGAUAGUCGUCUAAACAUCUACCUCUAGUACACAGACGUUUGUAUCAUAGGUGUUUCCAACCAGGGACGAAGAACGAUUCCUGUGACUUUAAAAAACAUGUUUUAAUCAGUACAUAAACAGGACAAUCCUUGUUGGAUUGGACACAAUCUACAUAAUAAAAAAGAAACCUGGUUUAUCUUUAUCCAAAUUAAUCUUCGAACUUGUAAACUGAUCGCAUUCUUGUCCAUAAACGUCUGAUAACCUAUUUAAAAGGUUUUUAUUGCCUAAAACCACAGAAUGGCCUCUUUGCUAGAGCACGACGUCUCCAUUAAGGGAGAACUUGUACAAAGGACUAAAUCAAAAGGUGUUACGCUCGUAUGAAGUUUACUUCUACUUAAAACUGUUGUAGUUAAUAACUUGGUCUAUCAUUACGUUUAAUUAAAGUUGUAGUAUCUUAAGUUAUGGAUAGGUACUUAACGAUUUCUACGCAGUCUAGGACUCGCAAACAACUGAGAGACUCUCUUAGCUACAUCAUUUGACACAAGAACAAACCUUGUUACUUAUGGUUAUAGGUUACUGCUGAUGUAUAAUUCUUUCGGUACUUUAAUGCUUAAUACAGCUUUAGACUUUCUGUUAGUCAUACGUACCAAUAAAUGAACUGAGUGGAAAGUACUAUACCGGUCUUUUUACUAAGACAUACCCUGUAUAAAAGCUUCUAUACCUGCUAGCACAAUUACCGGGUCAGGGCAAGCAGGAAUGGUACAUUACAACACGGUAAACGAUUACGUCAUAGAUACUUUAUGUGUGAGAGGGAAAAAGAAGAAACGCACAAGUUAGGGGACUCUCCUUAUUUUACGUCAAUCGACAAAUAGUAAAUGUUGGAACAUACCUCUUCAACUAGUCCCAAACAAUUCAUGAAUGUUUUAGUUCGUAGAUUGUUCUCACCGUAGUUCGAACAACUUCAACUUAUUCUCUACAUUCAGGAGUUUUGAGUGUAGUUUACUUGGUUGUAGCACAACUUUUACUAGAGACAACUUCACCUGAUCGUUUGGUACUUCUGGAUAACUGUAAACUAGGUACGUUAGAAGUACAUUGAACGCCGUUGACCUCUACGUGAGUAGUUUCAUAAACGGUUGUUCUUUACCGAGCGGUACCUACAUUAACGCAUGAAGUUCAUGCAGACGAAAUGAAAAUCGUUCGCAGUUAAGAUGAAGAAGUAGUAGGUCGAACAGUCUUUAUUAUAAUGAGGGG
Molecule: ribosomal RNA, 6869 nt
Filed under: Triticum aestivum (bread wheat)
Lineage: Eukaryota; Viridiplantae; Streptophyta; Magnoliopsida; Poales; Poaceae
Description: partial small subunit ribosomal RNA
Source: RNAcentral